Molecule: ribosomal RNA, 275 nt
Filed under: uncultured bacterium
Lineage: Bacteria
Description: partial 16S ribosomal RNA
Rfam family: Bacterial small subunit ribosomal RNA
Source: RNAcentral
UACGUAGAGCGCAAGCGUUGUCCGGAAUUAUUGGGCGUAAAGGGUACGCAGGCGGAUAAUAUAGUCAAGCGUGAAAGGUGUCGGCUUAACCGACAGACUGCGUUUGAAACUGAUUAUCUUGGGUGUAACAGAGGAGAGUGGAACCUUCCUAGUGUAGUGGUGAAAUACGUAGAUAUUAGGAAGAACACCAGUGGCGAAGGCGACUCUCUGGGUUAACACUGACGCUGAGGUACGAAAGCUGGGGGAGCAAAACGGGAUUAGAUACCCCCCGUAGU